Non-coding RNA from Capsicum annuum, 527 nucleotides. NCBI's taxonomy places the organism in Eukaryota, Viridiplantae, Streptophyta, Magnoliopsida, Solanales, Solanaceae. The record is from Rfam.
AGGGAGUAUGGUCGUAAAACUAAAACUUAAAUGAAUUAACAGAAGGGCACCGCCAGAAGUGGAGCCUGUGGCUUAAUUUGACUCAACAGGGGAAAACUUACCAGGUCCAAACAGAGUGAGGAUUGACAAACUAAGAGCCCUUUCUUGAUUCUAUGGGUGGUGGUGCACGACCGUUCUUAGUUGGUGGAGCAAUUUGUCUGGUUAAUUCCGUUAACAGAUGGGUCCUCAUCCUGCUAAACAGUUAUGCAGAGGUAUCCCUUUGCCACCAGCUUCUUAGAGGGACUACGACCUUUUAGGCCGCGAAAGUUUGAGGUAAUAAUAGGUUUGUGAUGCCCUUAGAUGUUCUGGGCCGUAGGCGCGCUACACUGAUGUAUUCAAUGAGUUUUAUAUAUGCUUUAAAAAAACCAACUGACAGGAGUUGACAUGAUUUUGCUAGAGAAUCAUACUAGACAUAUAUGAAGCAGAACUGCACGUGUUGAUAUAAGUCCGAGCCAAUGCACUCACAAAUGAGUCACGUAAUUUGUAAA